UGCGUAGGUGGUGGGGUAAGUCGGAUGUGAAAGCUCGGAGCUCAACUCCGAAAUGGCAUUGGAAACUACCCUGCUAGAGGAUUGGAGGGGGGACUGGAAUACUUGGUGUAGCAGUGAAAUGCGUAGAUAUCAAGUGGAACACCAGUGGCGAAGGCGAGUCCCUGGACAAUACCUGACACUGAGGCACGAAAGCUAGGGGAGCAAACA
RNAcentral lists this ribosomal RNA (207 nucleotides) under uncultured bacterium. RNAcentral describes it as "partial 16S ribosomal RNA". It matches the Rfam family "Bacterial small subunit ribosomal RNA", at positions 568 to 774 of the family's 1533-position model. The record is from RNAcentral.